GACGAACCGUCCUAACGUUGUUCGGAAUCACUGGGCUUAAAGGGCGCGUAGGCGGGUCAGCAAGUCCGGGGUGAAAUCUUUCGGCUUAACCGGAAAAGUGCCUUGGAUACUGCUGGUCUAGAGGGAGGUAGGGGCAUGUGGAACUUCCGGUGGAGCGGUGAAAUGCGUUGAUAUCGGAAGGAACGCCAGUGGCGAAAGCGACGUGCUGGAUCUCUUCUGACGCUGAGGCGCGAAAGCCAGGGGAGCAAACGGG
Molecule: ribosomal RNA, 253 nt
Filed under: uncultured bacterium
Lineage: Bacteria
Description: partial 16S ribosomal RNA
Rfam family: Bacterial small subunit ribosomal RNA
Source: RNAcentral